AACGCACAUUGCACUCUCUGGUAUUCCGGAGAGUAUGCUUGUUUGAGUAUCUGUAAACAUCUCAACCCUCAAGGCGCUUGCGUCGGGAGGAUUGGACUUGAGCGAUCCCGACUCUUUCUCACGAAAGAGGAGGGUCGCUUGAAAUGCAGGUGCAGCAGGACAUUCUUCUGAGCUAAAAGCAUAUCUAUUUAGUCCCGUCAAACGGAUUAUUACUUUUGCUUCAGCUAACAUAAAGGUCGAAUGCGCCACAAUCGCUGAUUGCAGGAAAACUCGUUCGUAAGAACUUGUAAACUCGAUCUCAAAUCAAGUAAGACUACCCGCUGAACUUAA
RNAcentral lists this unclassified non-coding RNA (330 nucleotides) under uncultured Mortierellaceae. RNAcentral describes it as "sequence contains ITS2". Lineage: Eukaryota; Fungi; Mortierellomycota; Mortierellomycetes; Mortierellales; Mortierellaceae. The record is from RNAcentral.